UUUCCGGUUGAUCCUGCCGGACCUGACCGCUAUCGGAUUGAUACUAAGCCAUGCGAGUCAUUGUAGCAAUACAAGGCAGACGGCUCAGUAACGCGUAGUCAACCUACCCUAUGGACGGGAAUAACCUCGGGAAACUGAGAAUAAUGCCCGAUAGAACAUUAUGCCUGGAAUGGUUUAUGUCUAAAAUGAUUUAUCGCCGUAGGAUGGGACUGCGGCCUAUCAGUUUGUUGGUGAGGUAAUGGCCCACCAAGACUAUUACAGGUACGGGCUCUGAGAGGAGUAGCCCGGAGAUGGGUACGGAGACACGGACCCAGGCCCUAUGGGGCGCAGCAGGCGAGAAAACUUUGCAAUGUGCGAAAGCACGACAAGGUUAAUCCGAGUGGUUUCUGCUAAAGGAACCUUUUGUCGGUCCUAGAAACACCGAUGAAUAAGGGGUGGGCAAGUUCUGGUGUCAGCCGCCGCGGUAAAACCAGCACCUCAAGUGGUCAGGAUGAUUAUUGGGCCUAAAGCAUCCGUAGCCUGCUCUGUAAGUUUUCGGUUAAAUCCAUAUGCUCAACAUAUGGGCUGCCGGGAAUACUGCAAAGCUAGGGAGUGGGAGAGGUAGACGGUACUUGGUAGGAAGGGGUAAAAUCCUUUGAUCUAUUGAUGACCACCUGUGGCGAAGGCGGUCUACCAGAACACGUCCGACGGUGAGGGAUGAAAGCUGGGGGAGCAAACCGGAUUAGAUACCCGGGUAGUCCCAGCUGUAAACAAUGCAAACUCAGUGAUGCAUUGGCUUGUGGCCAAUGCAGUGUUGCAGGGAAGCCGUUAAGUUUGCCGCCUGGGAAGUACGUACGCAAGUAUGAAACUUAAAGGAAUUGGCGGGGGAGCACCACAAGGGGUGAAGCCUGCGGUUCAAUUGGAGUCAACGCCGGGAAUCG
RNAcentral lists this ribosomal RNA (920 nucleotides) under uncultured archaeon. RNAcentral describes it as "bacterial SSU rRNA". It matches the Rfam family "Archaeal small subunit ribosomal RNA", at positions 1 to 927 of the family's 1478-position model. The record is from RNAcentral.